GUGAGGAAUAUUGGACAAUGGGCGCAAGCCUGAUCCAGCCAUGCCGCGUGCAGGAAGACGCAUCUAUGGUGUGUAAACUGCUUUUGUACGGGAAGAAACACUCCCUCGUGAGGGAGCUUGACGGUACCGUAAGAAUAAGGAUCGGCUAACUCCGUGCCAGCAGCCGCGGUAAUACGGAGGAUCCAAGCGUUAUCCGGAAUCAUUGGGUUCAAAGGGUACGUAGGCGGUUUAAUAAGUCAGUGGUGAAAGCCCAUCGCUCAACGAUGGAACGGCCAUUGAUACUGUUAGACUUGAAUUACAAGGAAGUAACUAGAAUAUGUAGUGUAGCGGUGAAAUGCUUAGAUAUUACAUGGAAUACCAAUUGCGAAGGCAGGUUACUACUUGUGGAUUGACGCUGAUGGACGAAAGCGUGGGGAGCGAACAGGAUUAGAUACCCGAGUAGUCC
RNAcentral lists this ribosomal RNA (445 nucleotides) under uncultured bacterium. RNAcentral describes it as "partial 16S ribosomal RNA". It matches the Rfam family "Bacterial small subunit ribosomal RNA", at positions 354 to 796 of the family's 1533-position model. The record is from RNAcentral.